GUCGAGCGGUAACAGAUCCAGCUUGCUGGAUGCUGACGAGCGGCGGACGGGUGAGUAAUGCAUAGGAAUCUGCCCGAUAGUGGGGGAUAACCUGGGGAAACCCAGGCUAAUACCGCAUACGUCCUACGGGAGAAAGGGGGCUCCGGCUCCCGCUAUGGGAUGAGCCUAUGUCGGAUUAGCUAGUUGGUGAGGUAACGGCUCACCAAGGCCACGAUCCGUAGCUGGUCUGAGAGGAUGAUCAGCCACAUCGGGACUGAGACACGGCCCGAACUCCUACGGGAGGCAGCAGUGGGGAAUAUUGGACAAUGGGGGAAACCCUGAUCCAGCCAUGCCGCGUGUGUGAAGAAGGCCCUCGGGUUGUAAAGCACUUUCAGCGAGGAAGAACGCCUAGCGGUUAAUACCCGCUAGGAAAGACAUCACUCGCAGAAGAAGCACCGGCUAACUCCGUGCCAGCAGCCGCGGUAAUACGGAGGGUGCAAGCGUUAAUCGGAAUUACUGGGCGUAAAGCGCGCGUAGGUGGCUUGAUAAGCCGGUUGUGAAAGCCCCGGGCUCAACCUGGGAACGGCAUCCGGAACUGUCAAGCUAGAGUGCAGGAGAGGAAGGUAGAAUUCCCGGUGUAGCGGUGAAAUGCGUAGAGAUCGGGAGGAAUACCAGUGGCGAAGGCGGCCUUCUGGACUGACGCUGACACUGAGGUGCGAAAGCGUGGGUA
Molecule: ribosomal RNA, 709 nt
Filed under: Halomonas sp.
Lineage: Bacteria; Pseudomonadati; Pseudomonadota; Gammaproteobacteria; Oceanospirillales; Halomonadaceae
Description: bacterial SSU rRNA
Rfam family: Bacterial small subunit ribosomal RNA
Source: RNAcentral